UAAGACAGAGGGUGCAAGCGUUGUUCGGAAUUACUGGGCGUAAAGAGUUUGUAGGCGGUGGAGUGUGUUUGGUGUGAAAGCCCUAGGCUAAACCUAGGAAGUGCAUCGAAAACUACUUCACUAGAGUGUGAGAGAGGAUGGCGGAAUUCCCAGAGUAGAGGUGAAAUUCGUAGAUACUGGGAGGAACACCAGAGGCGAAGGCGGCCAUCUGGCUCACAACUGACGCUGAGAAACGAAAGCGUGGGGAGCAAACAGGAUUAGAUACCCUGGUAGUCCACGCCGUAAACGAUGUUCACUAGAUGUUGGAGGAAUUGACCCCAUCAGCGUCGCAGCUAACGCAAUAAGUGAACCGCCUGGGGAGUACGGUCGCAAGACUA
RNAcentral lists this ribosomal RNA (377 nucleotides) under uncultured delta proteobacterium. RNAcentral describes it as "bacterial SSU rRNA". It matches the Rfam family "Bacterial small subunit ribosomal RNA", at positions 521 to 896 of the family's 1533-position model. Lineage: Bacteria; Deltaproteobacteria. The record is from RNAcentral.